CAUAUUAAUAAGCGGAGGAAAAGAAACUAACAAGGAUUCCCCUAGUAACGGCGAGUGAAGCGGGAAGAGCUCAAGCUUAAAAUCUCCGUGCAAGUUUUGCGCGGCGAAUUGUAGUCUAUAGAGGCGUGAUCAGUGUGGGCGCUUGGGGCAAGUUCCUUGGAAGAGGACAGCAUGGAGGGUGAUACUCCCGUUCAUCCCUGAGUUGCUCGUGCGUACGAUCCGUUUUCUUUGAGUCGCGUUGUUUGGGAAUGCAGCGCAAAGUAGGUGGUAAAUUCCAUCUAAAGCUAAAUAUUGGUGCGAGACCGAUAGCGAACAAGUACCGUGAGGGAAAGAUGAAAAGAACUUUGAAAAGAGAGUUAAAGAGUACCUGAAACUGCUGAAAGGGAACCGAAUCGUUUCCAGUGUCUAUAAUCCGUGGUAUAUUUCAUUGGCGAGUGUGUGCGUGCGUGUGCUGUGGCAGCGGCUUUUUUGGCUGCGCUCGGCGUGUGUGCUGUGUGUGCUUGCUGGUGCCCUGUGCUGCGGUGGGACGUCAAGGUCAGUUCGUAUGCUGCGGGAAAUGGCCGCCGAGGAGGUAGGGCUUACGCUUGCGUUUGUCUGUUAUAUCUUGGUGGACGAGUAGUCGCGGUUGGGACUGAGGUGCCUACAACGUGUUUUUGAGUGGGCCUGUGUCUCUGUGUGCGCCGUGUGCGGAUAGCUUGCUAUGCGUGUGUGGUUGUGUGUGGAUUGAUGUGGGUUUUAACUUGUUGCCGUUCGGGACGUUGACGAAAUGGAGCGAUUUGAC
This 781-nucleotide ribosomal RNA is filed under the name Phytophthora infestans (potato late blight agent). RNAcentral describes it as "eukaryotic LSU rRNA". It matches the Rfam family "Eukaryotic large subunit ribosomal RNA", at positions 39 to 648 of the family's 3401-position model. The record is from RNAcentral. Lineage: Eukaryota; Oomycota; Peronosporomycetes; Peronosporales; Peronosporaceae.